CGGGCAUGACUGGAGUUCGGCAGGGGAGACUGGAAUUCCUGGUGUAGCGGUGAAAUGCGCAGAUAUCAGGAGGAACACCGGUGGCGAAGGCGGGUCUCUGGGCCGAUACUGACGCUGAGGAGCGAAAGCGUGGGGAGCGAACAGGAUUAGAUACCCUGGUAGUCCACGCCGUAAACGGUGGGCGCUAGGUGUGGGGGCCAUUCCACGGUCUCUGUGCCGCAGCUAACGCAUUAAGCGCCCCGCCUGGGGAGUACGGCCGCAAGGCUAAAACUCAAAGGAAUCGACGGGGGCCCGCACAAGCGGCGGAGCAUGUGGAUUAAUUCGAUGCAACGCGAAGAACCUUACCUGGGUUUGACAUGCACCAGACGCGUCUAGAGAUAGGCGUUCCCUUGUGGUUGGUGUGCAGGUGGUGCAUGGCUGUCGUCAGCUCGUGUCGUGAGAUGUUGGGUUAAGUCCCGCAACGAGCGCAACCCUCGUUCCAUGUUGCCAGCGCGUUAUGGCGGGGACUCAUGGGAGACUGCCGGGGUCAACUCGGAGGAAGGUGGGGAUGACGUCAAGUCAUCAUGCCCCUUAUGUCCAGGGCUUCACACAUGCUACAAUGGCUCAUACAGAGGGCUGCGAGACCGUGAGGUGGAGCGAAUCCCUUAAAGUGGGUCUCAGUUCGGAUCGGGGUCUGCAACUCGACCCCGUGAAGUUGGAGUCGCUAGUAAUCGCAGAUCAGCAACGCUGCGGUGAAUACGUUCCCGGGCCUUGUACACACCGCCC
RNAcentral lists this ribosomal RNA (765 nucleotides) under uncultured Pseudonocardia sp. RNAcentral describes it as "bacterial SSU rRNA". It matches the Rfam family "Bacterial small subunit ribosomal RNA", at positions 632 to 1395 of the family's 1533-position model. The record is from RNAcentral. Lineage: Bacteria; Bacillati; Actinomycetota; Actinomycetes; Pseudonocardiales; Pseudonocardiaceae.